UCAGCCUCCUCGAUCGCUUUCUCGACCUUCUGUCUCUUCUCCCUCUCCGCAAUGAGGGUGCUCUCAACCGACUCCAUCUUUUUCUGAUAGUUGAUCUUUAAUUUGCCGAACUCCUCUUUCUCUUUCUUCUGUUGGAUCACCAAAUUCACCAACUUGACCUCCAACAGAGUGAUCUUUUCUCUACUCUUCCCUUCUCACUCCUCGAC
This 206-nucleotide long non-coding RNA is filed under the name Elaeis guineensis (African oil palm). Its description in RNAcentral is "long non-coding RNA (EGUI_LNC040752)". The record is from RNAcentral. Lineage: Eukaryota; Viridiplantae; Streptophyta; Magnoliopsida; Arecales; Arecaceae.